RNAcentral lists this long non-coding RNA (561 nucleotides) under Nicotiana tabacum (common tobacco). RNAcentral describes it as "long non-coding RNA (NTAB_LNC010518)". The record is from RNAcentral. Lineage: Eukaryota; Viridiplantae; Streptophyta; Magnoliopsida; Solanales; Solanaceae.
AACUUUUCCAUGUAAUCAGCAUUAGGGUUUUAAACCCUAAACUGAACUUUUUCCUUUAGCCAGCAUUAGGGUUUUAAACCCUAAACUGAGCUUUUUCCAUUCAGCCAGCAUUAGGGUUUUAAACCCUAAACUGAGCUUUUUCCAUGUAAUCAGCAUUAGGGUUUUAAACCCUAAACUGAACUUUUUCCAUUCAGCCAGCAUUAGGGUUUUAAACCCUAAACUGAACUUUUUCCAUUCAGCCAGCAUUAGGGUUUUAAACCCUAAACUGAGCUUUUCCAUGUAAUCAGCAUUAGGGUUUUAAACCCUAAACUGAAUUUUCCUUUUAGUCAGCAUUAGGGUUUUAAACCCUAAACUGAACUUUUUUCCAUUCAGCCAGCAUUAGGGUUUUAAACCCUAAACUGAGCUUUUUCCAUGUAAUCAGCAUUAGGGUUUUAAACCCUAAACUGAAUUUUCCUUUUAGUCAGCAUUAGGGUUUUAAACCCUAAACUGAACUUUUUCCAUUCAGCCAGCAUUAGGGUUUUAAACCCUAAACUGAGCUUUUCCUUUAGUCAGCAUUAGGGU